AGGAUAAAGUCGUAACAAGGUUUCCGUAGGUGAACCUGCGGAAGGAUCAUUAUCGAGUUUUUGAAAGCAAGUUUGUAGCUGGCAUUAAUAUGUAUUGUGCUCGACUUGUGCUCAAUCCACUCAACCCCCUGUGCACCUUUCGAAUGUUGUCUAGUCGGUCUUUUCCGAUUAGGGUUCGCGUGCGUCUUACCCGACGUGUGCUUACCCUUGCUACUCUUGGAAACCAGAGAUUUGCGUUUAGUAUUUAAAAAGGUUAAUCCUUUUGAGCUUCGCGUGUGUCUUCUGGCUCGGGAUCGACAGAUGCUUCGUAUUUUAAUUUAUAAACCCAUUUGAAAUGUCUUGUAGAAUGUUGCAGCCUCUUUGUUGGGCGAAAUAAAUUACAACUUUCAACAACGGAUCUCUUGGCUCUCGCAUCGAUGAAGAACGCAGCGAAAUGCGAUAAGUAAUGUGAAUUGCAGAAUUCAGUGAAUCAUCGAAUCUUUGAACGCACCUUGCGCCCUUUGGUAUUCCGAAGGGCAUGCCUGUUUGAGUGUCAUGUUAACCUCAAUCCCCUCAGUUUUGUUACUUGAUGGUGGAUUGGAUUUGGGAGUCUUUGCUGGCCUCUAAGUUUCUGAGGUCGGCUCUCCUUAAAUGUAUUAGCUGGGCCUUCGCUCGAGCGCGGUGUGAUAAUUUUAUUCGCCGUCUGCACUUGUGUACAUGUGCCUGCUUCUAAUCGUCUCUCUGAGACAAUAACUUGACUAUUGACCUCAAAUCAGGUAGGACCACCAGUCCC
RNAcentral lists this ribosomal RNA (772 nucleotides) under Nothophellinus andinopatagonicus. RNAcentral describes it as "eukaryotic LSU rRNA". The stretch from base 382 to 535 matches the Rfam family "5.8S ribosomal RNA". Lineage: Eukaryota; Fungi; Basidiomycota; Agaricomycetes; Hymenochaetales; Hymenochaetaceae. The record is from RNAcentral.